UGGCUGUCCUGGAACUCACUCUGUAGACCAGGUUGGACUGAAACUCAGAAAUCUGCCUGCCUCUGCCUCCCAAGUAUUGGGAUUAAAGGCAUGUGCCACUACCUCCUGGCCAGUUUUUUUUUUUUAAUUUUGGUGUAUGAUGUUUUUAUUUCCAAGUUUUUCAUAAUAAAGUUAAUAAAAGGAGACAAUCACACAUAAACGUGCACAUAUAAAAUACAUACUACAGUUAUACAUACAUGCAUAUGCUCAUGCAAUAACUUAACAUUACCCUUUUUAUUGAAUAUAGAGUCUUUCCUCAUAAAGUAUAUUCUGACCACAGUUUUCCAGUCCAGUUUCACUUUUGUGUGGAAUAUCAGUUUUCUCAGACCAUUUGUUAAAGGUAUUUUCCUUCCCUCUUGUAUCCUCUUACUACCCUUGCCAAAGUUAGUUGACUACACAGGGUUUGAUUUUCAGACUCUAUGCUGAUUCACUGUUUUAUACUAUUUUGAUUACUGAAGUUUCUUAAAACAGUUUUAAGUCAGGAAGUACUGUCCCUCCUACAUUGUUUUCUUUGUUUUGUUUUGUUUUGUUUUUUAAUUUAAGGCAUUUUUAUUAGAUAUUUUCUUCAUUUACAUUUCAAAUGCUAUCCCCAACACCCCCUAUACCUUCCCCCUACCCUACUCCCAACCCACCCACUCCCACUUCCUGGCAUUCCCCUGUACUGGGGCAUAUGAUCUUCUCAAGAAGAAGGGCCUCUCCUCCCAAUGAUGGCCGACUAGGCCAUCCUCUGCUACACAUGCAAGUAGAGACACAACUCUUGUGGGUACUGAUUAUUUCAUUUUGUUGUUCCUCCUAUAGGGUUGCAGACCCCUUUAGCUCCUUGGGUAUUUUAUCUACCUCCUGCAUUAGGAGCCCUGUGUUCCAUCCAAAAGAUGAGUGUGAGCAUCCACUUCUGUAUUUGCCAGGCAAUGGCAUAGCCUCAUAAGAGAGAGCUAUGUCAGGGUCCUGUCAGCAAAAUCUUGCUAGCAUAUGCAAUAGUGUCUGGGUUUGGUGAUUGUAUAUGGGAUGGAUCCCUAGCUGGGACAGUCUCUGGGUGGUUCUUUCUUCUGUCUCUGCACCGAACUUUGUCUAUGUAGCUCCUUCCAUGAGUAUUUUGUUCCCCAUUCUAAGAAGGAGCAAAGUAUCCAUACUUUGGUCUUCCUUCUUGAGUUUCAUGUGUAUCUUGGAUAUUCUAAGUUUCUGGGCUAAUAUCCACUUAUCAGUGAGUGUAUAUCAUGUGUGUUCUUUUGUGAUUGAGUUACCUCACUCAGGAUGAUAUCCUCCAGAUCCAUCCAUUUGCCUAAGAAUUUCAUAAAUUCAUUGUUUUUAAUUGCUGAGUAGUACUCCACUGUGUAAAUUUACAUUUUCUGUAUCCAUUCCUCUGUUGAAGGACAUCUGCAUUAUUUUCAGCUUCUGGCUAUUAUGACUAAGCUGCUAUGAACAUAGUGUCCUUAUUACAAGUUGGAACAUCUUCUGGGUAUAUGCCCAGGAUAGGAAUUGCUGGAUCUUCCUGUAGUACUAUGUCCAAUUUUCUGAGGAACCACCAGACUGGUUUCCAGAGUUGUUAUACCAGCUUGCAAUCCCACCAACAAUAGAGGAAUGUCCCUCUUUCUCCACAGCGACAGACAGAUAGACCAAUGGAAUAGAAUUGAAAAAAUGAACCCACACACCUAUGGUCACUUGAUCUUUGACAAGGGAGCUAAAACCAUCCAGUGGAAAAAAAGCAUUUUCAACAAAUGGUGCUGGCACAACUGGCGGUUAUCAUGUAGAAGAAUGCAAAUUGAUCCAUUCGUAUCUCCUUGUACUAAGGUCAAAUCUAAAUGGAUCAAGGAACUCCACAUAAAACCAGGACAGUGAAACUUAUAGAGGAGAAAGUGGGAAAAAGCCUUGAAGAUAUUGGCACAGGGGAAAAAUUCUUGAACAGAACAGCAAUGGCUUGUGCUGUAAGAUCGAGAGUCAACAAAUAGGACCUCAUAAAAUUGCAAAGCUUCUGUAAGGCAAAAGACACUGUCAAUAAGACAAAAAAGGCCACCAACAGAUUGGGAAAGGAUCUUUAACAAUCCUAAAUCAGAGAGGAGACUAAUAGCCGGUGUAUAUAUAAUGAACUCAAGAAGAUGAACUCCAGAAAAUCAAAUAACCCUAUUAAAAAAUGGGGUACAGAACUAAACAAAGAAUUCUCAACUGAGGGAUACUGAAGGGCUGAGAAGCACCUGAAAAAGUGUUCAACAUCCUUAAUCAUCAGGGAAAUGCAAAUCAAAACAACCCUGAGAUUCCACCUCACACCAGUCAGAAUGGCAAAAAUUCAGGUGACAUCAGAUGCUGGCAAGGAUGUGGAGAAAGAGGGAUACUCAUACAUUGUUUUUUAUUCCCGGUGUUGCUUUGGCUAGUCAGGUUUUGUAGAUCUGUACAAUUUUUUCUAUUUCCAUGGAAAACGCCAUUGGUGUUUUAAUGGGGAUUUGCCACAAUAUGGAUAGACGUCUAGGUCCUAAGUGGGAAAAAAAUAAAAGCCAGACAUAGAAAAAACAUCACAUGCUCACUUACAGGUACUCUUUUUUUCAAAAUCAAAUAGAAGUCAGAUUUAAUGGUACAUACCUUUAAUCUCAGCACUCAAGAAGCUGAACCCAGCCUAAUCUAAAUAAAGAGUUACAGGCCAGGGUACUUAGAGAGACCCUGUCUCAAAAAAAAAAAAAAAAGUCAAACAGAGAGACAGAGAACAAGAAUGAUGAUGAGUGAGGAGGAAAGGGAGAAAAAAGAAGCUGAUGUGCUCAAUGCAUAGCAAGAACAAGUUUCCCUACCUGCCUAGCAUGCCUGCAGAGCACGAGCUAAGCAGGAGAGUUAGACAAAAGACAUGUUGAAUUAGUGAUUUCGUGAAGCAAAUGUUUUUAGCUGUUAGAGGUGUUUCACCCUCUGUAUAUCUUAUCAAACUGUAGGCAUUAAAAAUAUUCAAUAACAUUUGUUUUUAAAUAAUACUUAAAUCAUUUCAAAUAGCAGAAGAAAGCGGCAACUGAAAAUGGAAGGUUUUGCCCAUCCCUUUUAAGAAAUAAAAAUUAUUUUAUUUUUUUCAUAGGUAGUUUUGCCUGUAUGUGUAUCUGUGCACCGUGUGUGUACAGUGCCAACAGAGGCCAGAAGAGGUCAUUGAAUCCUUUGGAACUGGAGAUACAGAUGGUUGUGAGCUGCCAUGUAGAUUCUAGGAACUGAACCUGGGUCUUCUGGAAGAACAGCUGAUGCUCUUAAUUUCUGAGCCAUCUCUCCAGCCCCUUUUGCCCACUCUUAAAGGGAAUUGAUGUAUCUUUAGAGGCCAAGUCUUAGGUAACAUAUAAUGAAACAAUCAUUUCAAACAAAGAUGGCAGGCCAGGCAUUGUGGUGCACACUUUAUUCCCUGCCACUUGGAAGGCAGAAGUGGGUGGCUGUCCAUGAGUUCAAGGUCACUCUAAUAGUGAGUCCCAGGACAACCAGGGCUACACAGUAAGACCCUGUCUCAAAAUU
This 3504-nucleotide long non-coding RNA is filed under the name Mus musculus (house mouse). Its description in RNAcentral is "long non-coding RNA chr13:78153633-78157137". Lineage: Eukaryota; Metazoa; Chordata; Mammalia; Rodentia; Muridae. The record is from RNAcentral.